ACUGUCACUCACUGCACAGGGCUGUGCCCACCACACUGUCACUCACUGCACAGGGCUGGUCCACCACACUGUCACUCACUGCACAGGGCUGUGCCCACCACACUGUCACUCACUGCACAGGGCUGGUCCACCACACUGUCACUCACUGCACAGGUCUGUGCCCACCACACUGUCACUCACUGCACAGGUCUGUGCCCACCACACUGUCACUCACUGCACAGGGCUGUGCCCACCACACGGUCACUCACUGCACAGGUCUGUGCCCACCACACGGUCACUCACUGCACAGGGCUGUGCCCACCACACUGUCACUCACUGCACAGGGCUGUGCCCCUGUCACCCUGUCAUGGUUGCACAGGUCUGCAGUCUGCAUCUCCCAGCACAGGACCGGGACCCCAGGUCUCCAGGGUCUGUGGUCUCACAGGUUCAGAUUCCGG
Molecule: non-coding RNA, 437 nt
Organism: Oryctolagus cuniculus (rabbit)
Lineage: Eukaryota; Metazoa; Chordata; Mammalia; Lagomorpha; Leporidae
Source: RefSeq, a predicted model, not a curated record